GGCCCUUUAGCUCAGUUGGUUAGAGCAUACGACUCAUAAUCGUCAGGUCCCCUGUUCGAGUCAGGGAAGGGCCACCA
RNAcentral lists this transfer RNA (77 nucleotides) under Pseudoalteromonas denitrificans DSM 6059. RNAcentral's name for it is "tRNA_Met_CAT". It matches the Rfam family "tRNA". Rfam says of the family: Transfer RNA (tRNA) molecules are approximately 80 nucleotides in length. The record is from RNAcentral. RNAcentral also lists the same sequence under 11 other names. Lineage: Bacteria; Pseudomonadati; Pseudomonadota; Gammaproteobacteria; Alteromonadales; Pseudoalteromonadaceae.